GGCCCUACAAUUUAGUAUGUUUACAGGUUCAUUUGAAUUCUAUUAAUCUUUAUUGUCCAUAAAAGGUUCAUUCAUCACAGGCACAUUCAUGUUGCGGAUGUGAGGUACAAUAAAAUACACAGCAAGCAGACAGAGUGGGAACUCCAUGGUGACCUGACAGAGGGUCACCAGUACUGCAACACAAGGAAGGACACACAUAUAUCCCUUACAGAAUUACCCACCAAACCAGGACCAAGCAGCGGAGGAGGAAGGAGCAACAGGAGAACAGCUUGAUGGACUCGUGGACAUGGGAACAGAUACUGGACGGAGAGGGACCAUGGACUCAGGCUGGGGAGUAUCGCCUCCCGCAGUGGGAGAUUGAAGCGGCG
RNAcentral lists this long non-coding RNA (368 nucleotides) under Salmo salar (Atlantic salmon). RNAcentral's name for it is "lncRNA (ENSSSAG00000101237.1)". Lineage: Eukaryota; Metazoa; Chordata; Actinopteri; Salmoniformes; Salmonidae. The record is from RNAcentral.